Panicum virgatum (switchgrass) is the source of this 788-nucleotide long non-coding RNA. RefSeq lists it as uncharacterized. The record is from RefSeq and is a predicted model, not a curated record. Lineage: Eukaryota; Viridiplantae; Streptophyta; Magnoliopsida; Poales; Poaceae. The transcript is spliced from 2 exons.
GCCAACUUGGUACGCCAGAUAUCGAAACGCAAGCUCAGCACAGCACAACCUGUAAGCUAAGCCGGAAAAAAAGAAGACAGGAAGAAGAAGAUGAGCAGAGGAGGGAUGAGUAGCGGCGGUGGCCGGAGCUCUCUAGGCUACCUCUUCGAGCCGGAGGAAACUACUACCCCGUAUCACACGAUGGCAAAAUCCAUCCCGAAAACCGUGAAGACUCCAGAUAUCAAUCGCAGCAGUGCCAAGGAUGAAAACAAGAUGAUGGGAGCUGAAGCCGAUCAAGCCCAAGAACCACCCCUGCUUCCUCCUCUGAAGAGAGAGGCGUCGAACCCGUUACUCUCGUCUAGCAGACCACCUUGCAACAUCUACCAUACCGGCCAGUUAAGCUCCAACAACUCUGGGUUUCUUAUCACUGACCGACCAUCGACAAGGGUACGCUGUGCACCAGGAGGACCGUCGUCGCUUGGGUUUCUGUUCGGAGAGGAGCAUGAGAAAUGAAUGCUUGGAUCUCGUCAUUGCUAAUCUACAUAAGAGUAUGGCUGCAUGUGUAUGCACCUUUCACCACAGUAUCGAAAAGACGAGCUGAUUUACAUAGGAUGGCUGUGGCAUGUGUAUAUUCAUUUAUGAUUGCACGGUUUGUGUGUACAAUCACUUCUGUUCGUUUUUUUUUUGAUUGGGUGUUCCUAUGUAUUUGGUAAAGUGGUAUUGCAGGGGUGUUUGAAAUAUUUGUUUUCAUGUAAAUUGUUGCUGCACAAGCAUAAGUUAUAUGGAAAGUUGAGUCAAAUAUGCUACUA